This 65-nucleotide transfer RNA is filed under the name Macrosteles quadrimaculatus. RNAcentral describes it as "tRNA-Leu". The record is from RNAcentral. Lineage: Eukaryota; Metazoa; Arthropoda; Insecta; Hemiptera; Cicadellidae.
UUCAGUGUGGCAGAUUAGUGCAAUGAAUUUAAGACUCAUAUAUAAAUAUGUUUAUUUCACUGAAA